RNAcentral lists this ribosomal RNA (513 nucleotides) under uncultured bacterium. Its description in RNAcentral is "partial 16S ribosomal RNA". It matches the Rfam family "Bacterial small subunit ribosomal RNA", at positions 28 to 523 of the family's 1533-position model. The record is from RNAcentral.
GAUGAACGCUGGCGGCGUGCCUAAUACAUGCAAGUCGAGCGAACAGACGAGGAGCUUGCUCCUCUGACGUUAGCGGCGGACGGGUGAGUAACACGUGGAUAACCUACCUAUAAGACUGGGAUAACUUCGGGAAACCGGAGCUAAUACCGGAUAAUAUGAUGAACCGCAUGGUUCAAUAGUGAAAUACGGUUUGGCUGUCACUUAUAGAUGUAUCAGCGCCGAAUUAGCUAGUUGGUAAGGUAACGGCUUACCAAGGCAACGAUGCGUAGCCGACCUGAGAGGGUGAUCGGCCACACUGGAACUGAGACACGGUCCAGACUCCUACGGGAGGCAGCAGUAGGGAAUCUUCCGCAAUGGGCGAAAGCCUGACGGAGCAACGCCGCGUGAGUGAUGAAGGUCUUCGGAUCGUAAAACUCUGUUAUUAGGGAAGAACAAAUGUGUAAGUAACUAUGCACGUCUUGACGGUACCUAAUCAGAAAGCCACGGCUAACUACGUGCCAGCCGCCGCCGUAA